Molecule: long non-coding RNA, 1573 nt
Organism: Thalassophryne amazonica
Lineage: Eukaryota; Metazoa; Chordata; Actinopteri; Batrachoidiformes; Batrachoididae
Exons: 4
Source: RefSeq, a predicted model, not a curated record
CAAUAAGGCUGUAACAACAAAAUGUGGGAAAAAAAAAUGAAGCGCUGUGAAUACUUGUCAGGUGCACCAUAUAGUGAAUUUAAAGUCACCAAUUCACUCAACCUGAAGUUUAAUAUUUGUCACGUGUUUGUCUAAGGAAACUCAUGGAAAAUGUAGCCCGUGGUUAGUGUGAGCUACUUGAAUAAAUACAGAACGAUAUAUAAAGACGAAUAUUUCCGAGGUUCUGUGAACGCCGCAUUUGGUCCUUCGCUGUUUCCGUAUUUGGUCGCUUCACCAGAACUUUCAACGCUCCGCAGACUUUCAGCCAGCCGUCCACCAUCUUUGUACUCCUCUUAGAAGCUGUGUGAUGACGUGCGCAAUGUGAGCGUCCAAUCGAAUUGGUUCACCGUCACAUGGUUUUCCAAUAUCCAAUCGUAGGGCAAAGCAGUCUCAGAUGAUACCAAGUGUUGAUGCACCAUUUGGCAAUCGUUUUUGAAACCUCACUUGUGAUGGGCCAGACAACCAGCCUUCAUGUGGAGACGCAACAGCAUUAUUUGGUGAGAAUUCAGCAUGACUUUGUACUCAGAGACUUGUUGCUCAGGUGCUGUAAUGAACCUUUGUGUUGAGCAUGUGUCAAAGAGGGACCCACCAUUCCGAAUUUGUCCUAAAUAUUACGAUUUUGACACACGGUGUACAACUUUCCGAUAUCUAACUUUAACAAGGCCAGUUUUGUUUAGUUUUAAAUCAUUUCAGGGAUUUUCUGCAAUUCUUCCAUGUGGGUAACUGUCAGCGAGAAUCUGAUUAGAAUUUAAUUAUAAAUUGGAUGAAUAAAGUGUUUUAACAAUUUGAUUUGUAUAUGAAUGUUUUUUUUUCCCCGCAAGCACAGCAACUCAUCCAUGUUUUCUGACAAGCAAAGUGAAAGCAGUGAAUGAAUAUCAUCAUUUCAGUGCACUUUUUUUUUUUGUACCAUUGAACCCAUUUUAUUUCUUGGUAUCGUAAUGAUAUUCACAAUUGUAAAUUGUGCGUGUCAAGAGAAACUGCUGUCCUUCUGUCCGGCAAAAUCUUUCGUGUCCUAAAACUCAAGAACUGCAAAACUCUCAAAAUCUAAAUUUUUAUACAUUGAAACUGGGAGGUCAGAGCUCUGCUUGGCAAAAAAAAGAAUGCAUUUCUGACAAUUAUAAGUGCUUCUUUUUUUAUACUGAAUUUUGAGUUUCAAGUAGGAAAUGUAACAGAAGCCAUGAAAUGCUCACUUCACCCACUAGAUGUCAACAAAAGCUACUCAAAUGUGUGGCAAGGUGUUGAUCUUUUACUCGUUUUAGAAGUUACCUUUUGGUGAAAAUAAGUUGGGCUGACAGCUAAAAAUCAACUUACAGUUGUGUUCUUUGCCCUUAUGGGCAGUUUACUUGUUUUGAAUAAUUGCUGAUAAUAAAAAAAGCCAUUAAUUUUAAAAGCUAAAACUCUAUAUUGACAAAUGUAAAAUAGCAGGGGUGGUGACAAAGUGGUUGGUGCGCUUGGUUUCAGUGGGUAAGGUUUCUGGUUCAAACCCCACCCCUGCCACUUUUCUCCAUGUAAUGUUGAGUUGAAUCUGGUGUGG